GUUACUGCUAUGAACAGGAAUAGUAGUAUUCUUAGCAUUUCAAGAGAGCUGUUGGUUGCUGGAAAACAGUAAUGCUGGUAUAUGAACUCGCCUGGGAGCUUAUCUACAGAAAAGUAGAUACGGUAAUGCCGUUAUUUAAUGAGUGAGGUUAAUUCAUAUUAAAGUGUCCAGCAAUAUUGCGUGCUUGUUUAUUUUAAUAUGCAUUACAAACCUAAUAAGAGUGGUACCGCGGAUAUACUUUCGUCUCUUUA
This 251-nucleotide non-coding RNA is filed under the name Clostridium tepidiprofundi. Its description in RNAcentral is "T-box sequence". It matches the Rfam family "T-box leader". From Rfam's summary of the family: Uncharged tRNA acts as the effector for transcription antitermination of genes in the T-box leader family. T-boxes are found upstream of many aminoacyl-tRNA synthetase genes and some amino acid biosynthetic genes usually in Gram-positive bacteria. Lineage: Bacteria; Bacillati; Bacillota; Clostridia; Eubacteriales; Clostridiaceae. The record is from RNAcentral.